GAUGAUUCAUGAUAACUCGAC
This 21-nucleotide non-coding RNA is filed under the name Arabidopsis thaliana (thale cress). Lineage: Eukaryota; Viridiplantae; Streptophyta; Magnoliopsida; Brassicales; Brassicaceae. The record is from RNAcentral.